AAAGAGUUCGUAGGUGGUUAAAAAAGUUGGUGGUGAAAUCCCAGAGCUUAACUCUGGAACUGCCAUCAAAACUUUUUAGCUAGAGUAUGAUAGAGGAAAGCGGAAUUUCUAGUGUAGAGGUGAAAUUCGUAGAUAUUAGAAAGAAUACCGAUUGCGAAGGCAGCUUUCUGGAUCAUUACUGACACUGAGGAACGAAAGCAUGGGUAGCGAAGAGGAUUAGAUACCCUCGUAGUCCAUGCCGUAAACGAUGUGUGUUAGACGUUGGAAAUUUAUUUUCAGUGUCGCAGCGAAAGCGAUAAACACACCGCCUGGGGAGUACGACCGCAAGGUUAAAACUCAAAUGAAUUGACGGGGACCCGCACAAGUAGUGGAGCAUGUGGUUUAAUUCGAAGAUACGCGCAGAACCUUACCAACACUUGACAUGUUCGUCGCGACUCUAAGAGAUUAGAGUUUUCGGUUCGGCCGGACGAAACACAGGUGCUGCAUGGCUGUCGUCAGCUCGUGUCGUGAGAUGUUGGGUUAAGUCCCGCAACGAGCGCAACCCUUACUUUUAGUUGCCAUCAUUUAGUUGGGCACUCUGAAAGAACUGCCAGUGAUAAGCUGGAGGAAGGUGGGGAUGACGUCAAGUCCUCAUGGCCCUUACGUGUUGGGCUACACACGUGCUACAAUGGUAUCUACAACAGGAAGCAAGAUGGCAACGUUAAGCAAAUCCCAAAAAGAUACCUCAGUUCGGAUUGCACUCUGCAACUCGAGUGCAUGAAGCUGGAAUUACUAGUAAUCGUGGAUCAGCGUGCCACGGUGAAUACGUUCCCGGGUCUUGCACACACUGCCCGUC
Molecule: ribosomal RNA, 835 nt
Filed under: uncultured bacterium
Lineage: Bacteria
Description: bacterial SSU rRNA
Rfam family: Bacterial small subunit ribosomal RNA
Source: RNAcentral